CUGAAAUGUGAUGUUGGUGAGCUCCGGGUUGUAC
RNAcentral lists this small RNA (34 nucleotides) under Bombyx mori (domestic silkworm). Its description in RNAcentral is "ovarian small RNA-14849". The record is from RNAcentral. Lineage: Eukaryota; Metazoa; Arthropoda; Insecta; Lepidoptera; Bombycidae.